CCUACGGGAGGCAGCAGUGAGGAAUAUUGGUCAAUGGGCGGAAGCCUGAACCAGCCAAGUCGCGUGCGGGAUGACUGCCCUACGGGUUGUAAACCGCUUUUACACGGGGAUAACACCUUCCACUUGUGGAGGUAUGCAGGUACCGUGUGAAUAAGCGUCGGCUAAUUCCGUGCCAGCAGCCGCGGUAAUACGGAGGACCCGAGCGUUAUCCGGAUUCAUUGGGUUUAAAGGGUGCGUAGGCGGGCUUUCAAGUUAGCUGUUAAAUGUCGGGGCUUAACCUCGAGUCGCAAUUAAUACUGGAAGACUUGAGUUCAGAAGAGGUAGGCGGAAUAAGUGGAGUAGCGGUGAAAUGCUUAGAUAUCACGAAGAACCCCGAUAGCGAAGGCAGC
RNAcentral lists this ribosomal RNA (389 nucleotides) under uncultured bacterium. RNAcentral describes it as "partial 16S ribosomal RNA". It matches the Rfam family "Bacterial small subunit ribosomal RNA", at positions 338 to 725 of the family's 1533-position model. The record is from RNAcentral.